This 1332-nucleotide ribosomal RNA is filed under the name Colletotrichum acutatum. RNAcentral describes it as "SSU rRNA". It matches the Rfam family "Eukaryotic small subunit ribosomal RNA", at positions 64 to 1429 of the family's 1831-position model. Lineage: Eukaryota; Fungi; Ascomycota; Sordariomycetes; Glomerellales; Glomerellaceae. The record is from RNAcentral.
UUUAAAUAAUUUUACUGUGAAACUGCGAAUGGCUCAUUAUAUAAGUUAUCGUUUAUUUGAUAGUACCUUACUACAUGGAUAACCGUGGUAAUUCUAGAGCUAAUACAUGCUAAAAACCUCGACUUCGGAAGAGGUGUGUUUAUUAGAUUAAAAACCAAUGCCCUUCGGGGCUCACUGGCGAUUCAUAAUAACCUCUCGAAUCGCAUGGCCUUGCGCCGGCGAUGGUUCAUUCAAAUUUCUUCCCUAUCAACUUUCGAUGCUAGAGUAGUGUUCUAGCAUGGUUACAACGGGUAACGGAGGGUUAGGGCUCGACCCCGGAGAAGGAGCCUGAGAAACGGCUACUACAUCCAAGGAAGGCAGCAGGCGCGCAAAUUACCCAAUCCCGACACGGGGAGGUAGUGACGAUAAAUACUGAUACAGGGCUCUUUUGGGUCUUGUAAUUGGAAUGAGUACAAUUUAAAUCCCUUAACGAGGAACAAUUGGAGGGCAAGUCUGGUGCCAGCAGCCGCGGUAAUUCCAGCUCCAAUAGCGUAUAUUAAAGUUGUUGUGGUUAAAAAGCUCGUAGUAGAACCUUGGGCCUGGCUGGCCGGUCCGCCUCACCGCGUGCACUGGUCCGGCCGGGCCUUUCCCUCUGUGGAACCGCAUGCCCUUCACUGGGUGUGCCGGGGAAACAGGACUUUUACUUUGAAAAAAUUAGAGUGCUCCAGGCAGGCCUUUGCUCGAAUACAUUAGCAUGGAAUAAUAGAAUAGGACGUGUGGUUCUAUUUUGUUGGUUUCUAGGACCGCCGUAAUGAUUAAUAGGGACAGUCGGGGGCAUCAGUAUUCAAUUGUCAGAGGUGAAAUUCUUGGAUUUAUUGAAGACUAACUACUGCGAAAGCAUUUGCCAAGGAUGUUUUCAUUUAUCAGGAACGAAAGUUAGGGGAUCGAAGACGAUCAGAUACCGUCGUAGUCUUAACCAUAAACUAUGCCGACUAGGGAUCGGACGAUGUUAUUUUUUGACUCGUUCGGCACCUUACGAGAAAUCAAAGUGCUUGGGCUCCAGGGGGAGUAUGGUCGCAAGGCUGAAACUUAAAGAAAUUGACGGAAGGGCACCACCAGGGGUGGAGCCUGCGGCUUAAUUUGACUCAACACGGGGAAACUCACCAGGUCCAGACACAAUGAGGAUUGACAGAUUGAGAGCUCUUUCUUGAUUUUGUGGGUGGUGGUGCAUGGCCGUUCUUAGUUGGUGGAGUGAUUUGUCUGCUUAAUUGCGAUAACGAACGAGACCUUAACCUGCUAAAUAGCCCGUAUUGCUUUGGCAGUACGCCGGCUUCUUAGAGGGACUAUCGGCUC